Molecule: long non-coding RNA, 218 nt
Filed under: Fukomys damarensis (Damara mole-rat)
Lineage: Eukaryota; Metazoa; Chordata; Mammalia; Rodentia; Bathyergidae
Description: lncRNA (ENSFDAG00000032248.1)
Source: RNAcentral
GACCAGGCUCUCCAAGGCUGCCAUGAAGGUAGAAUACAUCUCCUGUGCACGAUUAGAUCCCUCAAAGAGCCUGGCCUGCUGGAGAGCACCCGCCCAAAGAGCUGACAGCCGGAGCUGAGUCCGCAACUUUCAAGGCUCAGCCACUGUCAGGAACACUCAGAAGAUUGAUGCCCGCUUUUCCAAAGAGGAGGCCAGAGCCCUUCCAAGAUGAGAGCCCG